Thermomonospora curvata DSM 43183 is the source of this 371-nucleotide non-coding RNA. It matches the Rfam family "transfer-messenger RNA". Rfam says of the family: Bacterial tmRNA, also known as 10Sa RNA or SsrA, is named for its dual tRNA and mRNA-like properties. Lineage: Bacteria; Bacillati; Actinomycetota; Actinomycetes; Streptosporangiales; Thermomonosporaceae. The record is from Rfam.
GGGGGUGACUGGCUUCGACUUCGGUAGAUCGAGCCAGGGGAAGCGGGCCGAGGGCUGCGGUUGCAACCUCGUUAAUCCUGUGACCGCGAAAAAUAACUGCCAACAAGAAGCAGUCCGAGUUCGCUCUCGCCGCCUGAGCGAGUAGCGACUCUGUCAGCCCGGGAGUGUCUCCGGCCCGGUGUCUGGCAUCGUGAGGAGACUCAGCCCGUUCGCCCGGUCGCGGGGCGAGCGGGGACACCGCACAGCGACUGAGCCCGUCGGUGACUUGCCUGCGUGAGCACCGGGGCUGAGAAAACGCUGAGCAGGCUGCGCCCGGAGAAGCCCUGACUCAUCACUGAAGGACGCGGGUUCGAUUCCCGCCACCUCCACGC